UAGGGAAUAUUGCACAAUGGAGGAAACUCUGAUGCAGCCAUGCCGCGUGUGUGAAGAAGGCCUUCGGGUUGUAAAGCACUUUCGGAGGGGAGGAACAAAUGACGUUACCCUCAGAAGAAGCACCGGCUAACUCCGUG
This 137-nucleotide ribosomal RNA is filed under the name uncultured bacterium. RNAcentral describes it as "partial 16S ribosomal RNA". It matches the Rfam family "Bacterial small subunit ribosomal RNA", at positions 355 to 507 of the family's 1533-position model. The record is from RNAcentral.